ACGCUCGACACCUACGGGGGGCAGCAGUGGGGAAUAUUGCGCAAUGGGGGCAACCCUGACGCAGCAACGCCGCGUGAGCGAUGAAGGUUUUCGGAUCGUAAAGCUCUGUUCUGAGGGAAGAUAGUGACGGUACCUCAGGAGAAAGCCCCGGCUAACUACGUGCCAGCAGCCGCGGUAAUCUGAGCGGGCUGGCAAGGC
This 198-nucleotide ribosomal RNA is filed under the name uncultured bacterium. Its description in RNAcentral is "partial 16S ribosomal RNA". It matches the Rfam family "Bacterial small subunit ribosomal RNA", at positions 328 to 539 of the family's 1533-position model. The record is from RNAcentral.